RNAcentral lists this small nuclear RNA (106 nucleotides) under Catagonus wagneri (Chacoan peccary). Lineage: Eukaryota; Metazoa; Chordata; Mammalia; Artiodactyla; Tayassuidae. The record is from RNAcentral.
UUGCUUGCUUCGGCAGCACAUAUUCUAAAAUUGGAACGAUAGAGAGAAGAUUAGCGUGGCCCCUGUGCAAGGAUGACAUGCGAAUUGUGAAGUGUUCCAUAUUUUU